UACAGAGGUCUCAAGCGUUGUUCGGAUUCAUUGGGCGUAAAGGGUGCGUAGGCGGUCUGUUGCGUCUGCUGUGAAAACCCGGGGCUUAACCCCUGGCUUGCAGUGGAUACGGACAGACUAGAGGUAGGUAGGGGAGAAUGGAAUUCCCGGUGUAGCGGUGAAAUGCGCAGAUAUCGGGAGGAACACCGGUGGCGAAGGCGGUUCUCUGGGCCUUACCUGACGCUGAGGAGCGAAAGCGUGGGGAGCGAACAGG
This 253-nucleotide ribosomal RNA is filed under the name uncultured bacterium. RNAcentral describes it as "partial 16S ribosomal RNA". It matches the Rfam family "Bacterial small subunit ribosomal RNA", at positions 524 to 776 of the family's 1533-position model. The record is from RNAcentral.